RNAcentral lists this ribosomal RNA (354 nucleotides) under Triticum aestivum (bread wheat). Its description in RNAcentral is "partial small subunit ribosomal RNA". Lineage: Eukaryota; Viridiplantae; Streptophyta; Magnoliopsida; Poales; Poaceae. The record is from RNAcentral.
AUGAAGAGGAAGAGAGGCGUGCCUAAGCUGGAGUACGGGGCCUCGUCCGGGGUGGAUGAGAGGUCCAACGAGAGCAGCGACAAGAUGCAGGGCCAGCUCCUAGCCGCUGCGCGCGGCGCCGACGGGGGCAAUGCCAAGUUCGCGUGGUAUGGCGCUCCAUCGGUGGAUGUGGCCGCGGCGGCGGUGGAGCACGGGUUCGGCAGGAUGAACAACCGGGUCCUUUUCCAUCGCGCGCACGGCGACGACGUCCACCUCUCGCCGCCUCGGUCUCUUUAUGCCAGGUCAGGUCAGAGUUCUGAAUUUGUGGUUUUGAUCGAUGGCAAGCAUGAAUAUAGGCAUAUAGCUGUAGGAUAA